This 374-nucleotide ribosomal RNA is filed under the name uncultured Glomeromycotina. RNAcentral's name for it is "SSU rRNA". It matches the Rfam family "Eukaryotic small subunit ribosomal RNA", at positions 569 to 951 of the family's 1831-position model. Lineage: Eukaryota; Fungi; Glomeromycota. The record is from RNAcentral.
AGCAGCCGCGGUAAUUCCAGCUCCAAUAGCGUAUAUUAAAGUUGCUGCAGUUAAAAGCUCGUAGUUGAAUUUCGGGACCAUCAUGUUGGUCGUGCCUAGGUACGUACUGGCAUUGUUGGUUUCUCCCUUCUGACGAACCAUGAUGUCAUUUAUUUGGUGUCGUGGGAAAUCAGGACUGUUACUUUGAAAAAUUGAGUGUUUAAAGCAGGCUCACGCUUGAAUACAUUAGCAUGGAAUAAUGAAAUAGGACGUUUGAUUCUAUUUUGUUGGUUUCUAGGAUCGACGUAAUGAUUAAUAGGGAUAGUUGGGGGCAUUAGUAUUCAAUUGUCAGAGGUGAAAUUCUUGGAUUUAUUGAAGACUAACUACUGCGAAAG